RNAcentral lists this ribosomal RNA (262 nucleotides) under uncultured cyanobacterium. RNAcentral's name for it is "partial 16S ribosomal RNA". It matches the Rfam family "Bacterial small subunit ribosomal RNA", at positions 1272 to 1533 of the family's 1533-position model. The record is from RNAcentral. Lineage: Bacteria; Bacillati; Cyanobacteriota.
UCCCAUAAACCGUGGCUCAGUUCAGAUCGUAGGCUGCAACUCGCCUACGUGAAGGAGGAAUCGCUAGUAAUCGCAGGUCAGCAUACUGCGGUGAAUACGUUCCCGGGCCUUGUACACACCGCCCGUCACACCAUGGAAGUUGGCCACGCCCGAAGCCGUUACUCCAACCCUCGGGAGGAGGACGUCGAAGGUGGGGCUGAUGACUGGGGUGAAGUCGUAACAAGGUAUCCGUACCGGAAGGUGCGGAUGGAUCACCUCCCAA